AUUGAACGCUGGCGGCAGGCCUAACACAUGCAAGUCGAGCGGAUGAAGGGAGCUUGCUCCUGGAUUCAGCGGCGGACGGGUGAGUAAUGCCUAGGAAUCUGCCUGGUAGUGGGGGAUAACGCCCGGAAACGGGCGCUAAUACCGCAUACGUCCUGAGGGAGAAAGUGGGGGAUCUUCGGACCUCACGCUAUCAGAUGAGCCUAGGUCGGAUUAGCUAGUUGGUGGGGUAAAGGCCUACCAAGGCGACGAUCCGUAACUGGUCUGAGAGGAUGAUCAGUCACACUGGAACUGAGACACGGUCCAGACUCCUACGGGAGGCAGCAGUGGGGAAUAUUGGACAAUGGGCGAAAGCCUGAUCCAGCCAUGCCGCGUGUGUGAAGAAGGUCUUCGGAUUGUAAAGCACUUUAAGUUGGGAGGAAGGGCAGUAAGUUAAUACCCUGCUGUUUUGACGUUACCAACAGAAUAAGCACCGGCUAACUUCGUG
RNAcentral lists this ribosomal RNA (484 nucleotides) under uncultured bacterium. RNAcentral's name for it is "partial 16S ribosomal RNA". It matches the Rfam family "Bacterial small subunit ribosomal RNA", at positions 30 to 507 of the family's 1533-position model. The record is from RNAcentral.